Molecule: ribosomal RNA, 506 nt
Filed under: uncultured bacterium
Lineage: Bacteria
Description: partial 16S ribosomal RNA
Rfam family: Bacterial small subunit ribosomal RNA
Source: RNAcentral
GACGAACGCUGGCGGCGUGCUUAACACAUGCAAGUCGAACGGUGAAGGGACUGGUUUUGCUGGUCCUGGAUGAGUGGCGAACGGGUGAGUAACACGUGAGUAACCUGCCCCCUUCUUCUGGAUAACCGCAUGAAAGUGUGGCUAAUACGGGAUAUUCUGGGUCUGUCGCAUGGUGGGCCUGGGAAAGAUUGCGCCUUUUUUGGUGUUUUUGGUGGGGGAUGGGCUCGCGGCCUAUCAGCUUGUUGGUGGGGUGAUGGCCUACCAAGGCGGUGACGGGUAGCCGGCCUGAGAGGGUGGACGGUCACACUGGGACUGAGACACGGCCCAGACUCCUACGGGCGGCAGCAGUGGGGAAUAUUGCACAAUGGGCGCAAGCCUGAUGCAGCGACGCCGCGUGAGGGAUGGAGGCCUUCGGGUUGUGAACCUCUUUCGCCAGUGAAGCAGGCCUGCCUCUUUUUGUGGGUGGGUUGACGGUAGCUGGAUAAGAAGCGCCGGCUAACUACGUG